This 1044-nucleotide ribosomal RNA is filed under the name bacterium endosymbiont of Plateumaris fulvipes. RNAcentral's name for it is "bacterial SSU rRNA". It matches the Rfam family "Bacterial small subunit ribosomal RNA", at positions 356 to 1394 of the family's 1533-position model. The record is from RNAcentral.
GGGGAWUUUUGCACAWUGGGCGAAAGCCUGAUGCAGCUAUSCCGCGUGUAUGAAGAAGGCCUUAGGGUUGUAAAGUACUUCCAACAAGAAAGAACUAAUAAAAUUUAAUAAAUUUUAUUAUUGACGUUACUUGUAAAAGAAGCACCGGCUAACUCCGUGCCAGCAGCCGCGGUAAUACGGAGGGUGCGAGCGUUAAUCGGAAUUACUGGGCGUAAAGAGCACGUAGGCGGUAUAUUAAGUCAGAUGUGAAAUCCCUGAGCUCAACUUAGGAAUUGCAUUUGAAACUGAUAUACUUGAGUUUCGUAGAGGGGGGUAGAAUUCCAGGUGUAGCGGUGAAAUGCGUAGAUAUCUGGAGGAAUACCAGUGGCGAAGGCGACCCCCUGGACGAAUACUGACGCUCAGGUGCGAAAGCAUGGGUAGCAAACAGGAUUAGAUACCCUGGUAGUCCAUGCUGUAAACGAUGUCGACUUGGAGGUUGUAAGCUUGACUUGUAACUUUCGUAGCUAACGCGUUAAGUCGACCGCCUGGGGAGUACGACCGCAAGGUUAAAACUCAAAUGAAUUGACGGGGGCCCGCACAAGCGGUGGAGCAUGUGGUUUAAUUCGAUGCAACGCGAAAAACCUUACCUGGUCUUGACAUCCAUGGAAUUUAGUAGAGAUACUUUAGUGCUUCGGGAACCAUGAGACAGGUGCUGCAUGGCUGUCGUCAGCUCGUGUUGUGAAAUGUUGGGUUAAGUCCCGCAACGAGCGCAACCCUUGUCCUUUGUUGCCAACGGUUCGGCCGGGAACUCAAAGGAAACUGCCGGUGAUAAACCGGAGGAAGGUGGGGACGACGUCAAGUCAUCAUGGCCCUUACGACCAGGGCUACACACGUGCUACAAUGGUAUAUACAAAGGGAAGCAUCCUCGCGAGAGUAAGCGGAUCUCACAAAAUAUAUCGUAGUUCGGAUUGGAGUCUGCAACUCGACUCCAUGAAGUCGGAAUCGCUAGUAAUCGUAGAUCAGAACGCUACGGUGAAUACGUUCCCGGNCCUUGUACACACCNCC